This 467-nucleotide ribosomal RNA is filed under the name uncultured bacterium. RNAcentral's name for it is "partial 16S ribosomal RNA". It matches the Rfam family "Bacterial small subunit ribosomal RNA", at positions 29 to 507 of the family's 1533-position model. The record is from RNAcentral.
ACGCACGCUGGCGGCGUGCUUAACACAUGCAAGUCGAACGGAAAGGCCCUGCUUUUGUGGGGUGCUCGAGUGGCGAACGGGUGAGUAACACGUGAGUAACCUGCCCUUGACUUUGGGAUAACUUCAGGAAACUGGGGCUAAUACCGGAUAGGAGCUCCUGCUGCAUGGUGGGGGUUGGAAAGUUUCGGCGGUUGGGGAUGGACUCGCGGCUUAUCAGCUUGUUGGUGGGGUAGUGGCUUACCAAGGCUUUGACGGGUAGCCGGCCUGAGAGGGUGACCGGCCACAUUGGGACUGAGAUACGGCUCAGACUCCUACGGGAGGCAGCAGUGGGGAAUAUUGCACAAUGGGCGGAAGCCUGAUGCAGCAACGCCGCGUGCGGGAUGACGGCCUUCGGGUUGUAAACCGCUUUCGCCUGUGACGAAGCGUGAGUGACGGUAAUGGGUAAAGAAGCACCGGCUAACUACGUG